This 793-nucleotide non-coding RNA is filed under the name Oncylocotis sp. PJ-2015. The record is from RNAcentral. Lineage: Eukaryota; Metazoa; Arthropoda; Insecta; Hemiptera; Enicocephalidae.
AAAAAUAAUUAUAAGUUUUAAUUUUUAUAGUUAUAAUAAAUAGUUUGAUUCUUGCUAAAAUUAUUAAUUUUUUUAAUUAGCUAAAUGUAAAUUUUAGUAUGAAAAAAAAAUCUAAAAGAUUAAAAAUUUUAAAUCUCAAUAUUUAAUUUUAAUAAAUUAAUUUAUAUUAAAAUUAAAAAUUAAAAAAAAAUUUAAUUAAAAUUGUGCCAGCAAUUGCGGUUAAACAAUUAAAUUUAGUUAAUAUUAUUGAUUAAAAAAUAUAUUUAUAAAUUAUUUUAUUAAAAAAUAUUUUAAUUAGGUGAAAUUUUUUAUUUAUAUUAAAAUUUUGGUUAUAAAAUUAUUUGAAAAUUAGAAGUAAAAAAUAGGAUUAGAUACCCUAGUAUUCUAAUAGUAAAUUUUUGUUAGAGAAAUAUUAGUUUAUUCUUGAAAUUCAAAGAAAUUGGCGGCAAUUAAUUUAAUUAGGGGAAUUUGUUUUAUAAUUGAUGAUCCACGAAAAAUUUUACUUUUAUUAUAUUUUUAUAUCGUUGUUAUUGAAUAUUUUUAAAGAAUAUUUUCAUAAAAAUUAAUAUUUAUAAUAUCAGAUCAAGAUUUAGUUAUAUAAAAGAAAAAAUGAAUUACAAUUUUUUUAUAAUUGGAUUAAUUAUAUGUAAAUUUUUAUGAAAAUGGAUUUAAUAGUAAAAUUAUAUAAAUUUAUAAUUUGAAUUUAUACUUAAUUGUGUACAAACCGUCCGUCGCUCUCAUAAUUGAGAUAAGUCGUAACAAGGUUAGUUUACUAGAAAGUGAAUUUAGAUUA